ACGAACGCUGGCGGCGUGCUUAACCCCUGCAAGUCGAACGGAAAGGCCCUGCCUUUGUGGGGUGCCCGAGUGGCGAACGGGUGAGUAACACGUGAGUAACCUGCCCUUGACUUUGGGAUAACUUCAGGAAACUGGGGCUAAUACCGGAUAGGAGCUCCUGCUGCAUGGUGGGGGUUGGAAAGUUUCGGCGGUUGGGGAUGGACUCGCGGCUUAUCAGCUUGUUGGUGGGGUAGUGGCUUACCAAGGCUUUGACGGGUAGCCGGCCUGAGAGGGUGACCGGCCACAUUGGGACUGAGAUACGGCCCAGACUCCUACGGGAGGCAGCAGUGGGGAAUAUUGCACAAUGGGCGGAAGCCUGAUGCAGCAACGCCGCGUGCGGGAUGACGGCCUUCGGGUUGUAAACCGCUUUCGCCUGUGACGAAGCGUGAGUGACGGUAAUGGGUAAAGAAGCACCGGCUAACUACGUG
This 467-nucleotide ribosomal RNA is filed under the name uncultured bacterium. RNAcentral describes it as "partial 16S ribosomal RNA". It matches the Rfam family "Bacterial small subunit ribosomal RNA", at positions 29 to 507 of the family's 1533-position model. The record is from RNAcentral.